CCGGCGCCAAAUAUUCCUUGUUUGUUCCUUGCCCCCCUCUCUUAAAAUCACAGAGCAGCCCAGUUUUUGUUGUUCUGUUUAAAAAAGAAAAAAAAAAAAAAAAACCCUGCAGCUGUGCAGCUAACAAAAACACUUCACUUCUCAUUAAUUCUCAUUAACAGACCAAUUAACUGACUCUUCUUUCUUCUGUAUUUUGGUUGAACUAGAGCUAGCUAGCUCUUUUGCAAUUUGCGUGAUGGAGAAUGGUUUCUCCUCUCCAAGAAACGACACCUUUAAUCCUGCCGGUCUCCGCGUUCUUGUUGUUGAUGAUGAUCUAGCGUGGCUCAAAAUUCUUGAAAAGAUGCUCAAAAAGUGUUCCUAUGAAGGUUCGUGGUCACAGUUAAAUUUCAGAUUUUACUUUACUUUGUUACUGUUGUUAUUACUUGGUUUGCUUUAACUGUAUGAUAUAUCCACUUCCUCAUCUGCGUUUCUUGUUUUUUCUUAAUGAUCUUCGACUGCUCACUGAACUAAUUUGCUACAUCAAGUUCUUAUAAUUUCUUUUGUUAUAAUUGCUGACCCGUGAGACCUUUUUUUUUCCCUCCUCCGCCUGCAUGGAUUAUUAGUUUUAAAAAAAAAAAAAAAAAAAAAAAACACCCUGCAGCUGUGCAGCUAACAAAAACACUUCACUUCUCAUUAAUUCUCAUUAACAGACCAAUUAACUGACUCUUCUUUCUUCUGUAUUUUGGUUGAACUAGAGCUAGCUAGCUCUUUUGCAAUUUGCGUGAUGGAGAAUGGUUUCUCCUCUCCAAGAAACGACACCUUUAAUCCUGCCGGUCUCCGCGUUCUUGUUGUUGAUGAUGAUCUAGCGUGGCUCAAAAUUCUUGAAAAGAUGCUCAAAAAGUGUUCCUAUGAAGGUUCGUGGUCACAGUUAAAUUUCAGAUUUUACUUUACUUUGUUACUGUUGUUAUUACUUGGUUUGCUUUAACUGUAUGAUAUAUCCACUUCCUCAUCUGCGUUUCUUGUUUUUUCUUAAUGAUCUUCGACUGCUCACUGAACUAAUUUGCUACAUCAAGUUCUUAUAAUUUCUUUUGUUAUAAUUGCUGACCCGUGAGACCUUUUUUUUUCCCUCCUCCGCCUGCAUGGAUUAUUAGUGAAGUUUCAAAAAAUGGCUUGUGAGGCUUUGCUUUUUAUUUUUUAUUUUUUCCUUGUUUUUGUUUUGGUUGAGUUUUUGAAAUUUGCUUCAAUAUUAUGCAAUUAGUUUAUGUAGACCUCAAAAUCGAGCUUUGCGUGUAUUUCUGAUUUACCAAUAAAAAAAGUGGAAGAAAUGAAGUUCGGUUUGAUGUUAAGGUUAUGAUAACCAUUGUUGUUUUGUAAUUUCUUCUUGUUCUUCUUUGUUUUUAUGCCUUUUUUGGUAAUUUUAUGUGAUGGUUUCUUGCAAAAGGCAAGGAUUUUCUAGAUGCAAGGCUCAAAUUUGUGAGCUUAUUCAUCUAGUUUUGGGUAAAAAUAUAUAAGUGAGAAUGUAAUGAAUUCAGAAGGAUAAGUGAGAAUGUAAUGAAUUCAGAAGGAAAAAAAAAAAAAGUGAAUAUAUAGUUCAAUUAAGCAUAUUAUUUGAAGCUUCUUUUCAAUUAAUUGCUAGGUUUGGUCCAUGUGCUGAGCAGUUUAUAGUCAUGGAAGCAUGUUUGCUAGUUCUUGGUAUGAUAUGUUGAUUUCUGAAUGGAUAGACCACUAUCACCCG
RNAcentral lists this long non-coding RNA (1714 nucleotides) under Citrus sinensis (sweet orange). RNAcentral's name for it is "long non-coding RNA (CSIN_LNC002881)". The record is from RNAcentral. Lineage: Eukaryota; Viridiplantae; Streptophyta; Magnoliopsida; Sapindales; Rutaceae.